CCUACGGGAGGCAGCAGUGAGGAAUAUUCCACAAUGGGGGAAACCCUGAUGGAGCGAUGCCGCGUGCAGGAAGACGCUUUUCGGAGUGUAAACUGCUUUUAACAAGGAAGAUUAUGACGGUACUUGUAGAAUAAGGACCGGCUAACUACGUGCCAGCAGCCGCGGUAAUACGUAGGGUCCAAGCGUUAUUCGGAAUUACUGGGCGUAAAGCGUUCGUAGGCGGUUUGAUAAGUUGGAUGUGAAAUCCUGUGGCUCAACCACAUGGACUGUGUCCAAAACUAUCUGACUAGAGCAUAGUAGAGGCAAGUGGAAUUUGCGGUGUAGGAGUGACAUCCGUAGAUAUCGCAAGGAACACCAAUGGCGAAGGCAGCUUGCUGGGCUAUUGCUGACGCUCAGGAACGAAAGCGUGGGGAGCGAACGGGAUUAGAUACCCCGGUAGUCCACGCCGUAAACGAUGAUCACUAGCAGUAUGGAGAUUCGACCCUCUGUGUUGCACAGCUAACGCGUUAAGUGAUCCGCCUGGGGGAGUACGGGGCGCAAGCUUAAAAACGUCAAAAGAUAGUACGGACGUGUAGGAGUCGCGACCGGAGGACCACCGAGGGAGGGUUAAGG
RNAcentral lists this ribosomal RNA (612 nucleotides) under uncultured bacterium. Its description in RNAcentral is "bacterial SSU rRNA". It matches the Rfam family "Bacterial small subunit ribosomal RNA", at positions 338 to 1533 of the family's 1533-position model. The record is from RNAcentral.